ACUUUCUCCAUCACUCUCAUCUCCAUGAUAUUCUACCUGUACAUGUUUGCAUGUAUCAUGCAUACAUGAGUUUCAUGAGUUGGAAUGAUUUAUUUGGGAGUCAUAUUUCUGCCGACAAGAUCAAAAAUUAAAGAUGUUGAAAUUUUCAAGAGAUGAUGUUUACAUUUUAGAUAUUUAGACACAAAUCUUCAGAGUCAAAAUCCAGCUGUGUUGUGAGCUAUAUUUUUUGGACCGUACGCAUAUUGGAAUUAGACACAUUGUGAAAGGUCUUACAGUUACAUUCCCAAAUAAAAAGGAGUUAUACAUUUGAAAAAAUGAGGAGAAACCAAA
This is a long non-coding RNA of Vitis riparia (riverbank grape), 330 nucleotides long. RefSeq lists it as uncharacterized. The transcript is spliced from 2 exons. NCBI's taxonomy places the organism in Eukaryota, Viridiplantae, Streptophyta, Magnoliopsida, Vitales, Vitaceae. The record is from RefSeq and is a predicted model, not a curated record.